RNAcentral lists this ribosomal RNA (788 nucleotides) under uncultured bacterium. Its description in RNAcentral is "bacterial SSU rRNA". It matches the Rfam family "Bacterial small subunit ribosomal RNA", at positions 59 to 866 of the family's 1533-position model. The record is from RNAcentral.
CAGUCGAACGGAGAAAUGAUUUCGGUUAUUUUCUUAGUGGCGGACGGGUGAGUCACAUGUGAGGAACCUGCCUUUGAGAGUGGGAUAGCUUCUGGAAACGGAUGGUAAUACCGCAUAACAUAGCGAAACCGCAUGAUUUUGCUAUCAAAGUAUUUCGCUCAGAGAUGGCCUCGCGUCUGAUUAGAUAGUUGGUGAGGUAACGGCUCACCAAGUCGACGAUCAGUAGCCGGACUGAGAGGUUGAACGGCCACAUUGGGACUGAGACACGGCCCAGACUCCUACGGGAGGCAGCAGUGGGGGAUAUUGCACAAUGGGGGAAACCCUGAUGCAGCGAUGCCGCGUGGAGGAAGAAGGUUUUCGGAUUGUAAACUCCUGUCGUAAGGGAAGAGGAAGGACUGUACCUUACAAGAAAGCUCCGGCUAACUACGUGCCAGCAGCCGCGGUAAUACGUAGGGAGCGAGCGUUGUCCGGAAUGACUGGGUGUAAAGGGAGCGUAGGCGGGAUGGCAAGUCAGAUGUGAAACCUGAGGGCUCAACCUUCAGACUGCAUUUGAAACUGCUGUUCUUGAGUGAAGUAGAGGUAAGCGGAAUUCCUGGUGUAGCGGUGAAAUGCGUAGAGAUCAGGAGGAACAUCGGUGGCGAAGGCGGCUUACUGGGCUUUUACUGACGCUGAGGCUCGAAAGCGUGGGGAGCAAACAGGAUUAGAUACCCUGGUAGUCACGCUGUAAACGAUGAUUACUAGGUGUGGGGGGAUUGACCCCUUCCGUGCCGCAGUUAACACAAUAAGUA